Molecule: ribosomal RNA, 108 nt
Filed under: Acanthosepion pharaonis
Lineage: Eukaryota; Metazoa; Mollusca; Cephalopoda; Sepiida; Sepiidae
Source: RNAcentral
ACCAUAUCACAUUGAAACACCAGUUCUCAUACAAUCACCAAAGUUAAACAACAUUGAGCCUGAUCAGUACCUAGAUGGGUGACUGCUUGGGAAUAGCAGGUACUGUAA